AGAGUGAACGCUGGCGGCAGGCCUAAUACAUGCAAGUCGAACGGCAGCACAGCAGAGCUUGCUCUGUGGGUGGCGAGUGGCGGACGGGUGAGGAAUACAUGGGAAUCUGCCCAGUCGUGGGGGAUAACGUAGGGAAACUUACGCUAAUACCGCAUGCGCCCUUCGGGGGAGAGCCGGGGACCUUCGGGCCUGGCGCGAUUGGAUGAGCCCAUGUCGGAUUAGCUAGUUGGGGGGUAAAGGCCACCAAGGCGACGAUCCGUAGCUGGUCUGAGAGGAUGAUCAGCCACACUGGAACUGAGACACGGUCCAGACUCCUACGGGAGGCAGCAGUAGGGAAUAUUGGACAAUGGGCGCAAGCCUGAUCCAGCCAUGCCGCGUGUGUGAAGAAGGCCUUGGGUUGUAAAAGCGUAACUUUUUGUACCGGAAAGAAAAGCGACUCGGGUUAAACACCCGUUGGUGUCCUGACGGUACCGGAAAG
This 478-nucleotide ribosomal RNA is filed under the name uncultured soil bacterium. RNAcentral's name for it is "bacterial SSU rRNA". It matches the Rfam family "Bacterial small subunit ribosomal RNA", at positions 26 to 485 of the family's 1533-position model. The record is from RNAcentral.